Molecule: transfer RNA, 74 nt
Filed under: Ostreococcus lucimarinus virus 1
Lineage: Varidnaviria; Bamfordvirae; Nucleocytoviricota; Megaviricetes; Algavirales; Phycodnaviridae
Also listed under: 1 other name
Description: tRNA-Asn
Rfam family: tRNA
About the family: Transfer RNA (tRNA) molecules are approximately 80 nucleotides in length.
Source: RNAcentral
UCCCUUGUAACUCAGUUGGUUAGAGUGUUCGACUGUUAAUCGAGAAGCCACCGGUUCGAAUCCGGUCAAGGGAG